AAUGAACGUUGGCGGCAUGGAUUAGGCAUGCAAGUCGAGCGAGAAGGAGUGCAAAGUUUACUUUGGACUCCGGAAAGCGGCGAAAGGGAGAGUAACGCGUAGUUAUCUACCCUCAGGACCGGAAUAGCCACGGGAAACUGUGGGUAAUGCCGGAUAAUAUCUUUGGAUCAAAGGUGUGAUUCCGCCUGGGGAGGAGACUGCGUUGUACUAGCUAGUUGGUGGGGUAAUGGCCUACCAAGGCGACGAUGCAUAGCGGGCGUGAGAGCGUGGCCCGUCUCACUGGGACUGAAACACUGCCCAGACACCUACGGGUGGCAG
This 318-nucleotide ribosomal RNA is filed under the name uncultured Planctomycetota bacterium. RNAcentral describes it as "bacterial SSU rRNA". It matches the Rfam family "Bacterial small subunit ribosomal RNA", at positions 29 to 351 of the family's 1533-position model. The record is from RNAcentral. Lineage: Bacteria; Pseudomonadati; Planctomycetota.